UGGGAAGGCCCAGACAGCCAGGAUGUUGGCUUAGAAGCAGCCAUCAUUUAAAGAAAGCGUAAUAGCUCACUGGUCGAGUCGGCCUGCGCGGAAGAUGUAACGGGGCUAAACCAUGCACCGAAGCUGCGGCAGCGACACCGUGUGUUGUUGGGUAGGGGAGCGUUCUGUAAGCCUGUGAAGGUGUGCUGUGAGGCAUGCUGGAGGUAUCAGAAGUGCGAAUGCUGACAUAAGUAACGAUAAAGCGGGUGAAAAGCCCGCUCGCCGGAAGACCAAGGGUUCCUGUCCAACGUUAAUCGGGGCAGGGUGAGUCGACCCCUAAGGCGAGGCCGAAAGGCGUAGUCGAUGGGAAACGGGUUAAUAUUCCCGUACUUGGUGUUACUGCGAAGGGGGGACGGAGAAGGCUAUGUUGGCCGGGCGACGGUUGUCCCGGUUUA
Molecule: ribosomal RNA, 434 nt
Filed under: Salmonella enterica
Lineage: Bacteria; Pseudomonadati; Pseudomonadota; Gammaproteobacteria; Enterobacterales; Enterobacteriaceae
Description: partial 23S ribosomal RNA
Rfam family: Bacterial large subunit ribosomal RNA
Source: RNAcentral